UACGUAGGGUCCGAGCGUUGUCCGGAAUUAUUGGGCGUAAAGGGCGCGUAGGCGGCUUUAUAAGUCGGGGGUGAAAGCCUGUGGCUCAACCACAGAAUUGCCUUCGAUACUGUAGAGCUUGAGACCGGAAGAGGUAAGUGGAACUGCGAGUGUAGAGGUGAAAUUCGUAGAUAUUCGCAAGAACACCAGUGGCGAAGGCGGCUUACUGGUCCGGUUCUGACGCUGAGGCGCGAAAGCGUGGGGAGCAAACAGG
This 253-nucleotide ribosomal RNA is filed under the name uncultured bacterium. RNAcentral describes it as "partial 16S ribosomal RNA". It matches the Rfam family "Bacterial small subunit ribosomal RNA", at positions 524 to 776 of the family's 1533-position model. The record is from RNAcentral.